Molecule: ribosomal RNA, 225 nt
Filed under: uncultured bacterium
Lineage: Bacteria
Description: partial 16S ribosomal RNA
Rfam family: Bacterial small subunit ribosomal RNA
Source: RNAcentral
CGCGUAGGCGGCCGAGCAAGGUCGCGGUGAAAGCCCGGGGCUCAACCCCGGGUCGGCCGUGGCAACUACUCGGCUCGAGCACUGUAGGGGCGGGUGGAAUUCCGGGUGUAGCGGUGGAAUGCGUAGAGAUCCGGAAGAACACCGGUGGCGAAGGCGGCCCGCUGGGCAGGAAGACGGGGCAACCCGUCGGCUGACGCUGAGGCGCGACAGCGUGGGGAGCAAACA